This is a non-coding RNA of Elaeis guineensis (African oil palm), 538 nucleotides long. The record is from RefSeq and is a predicted model, not a curated record. Lineage: Eukaryota; Viridiplantae; Streptophyta; Magnoliopsida; Arecales; Arecaceae.
CGACUUUUUUUGACCUCACCACCCCCACAGCAGCCCUGCCGCUUCGGAGAUAACCCUUCCCUCACUCGCUUUCCGACACGAGGUCGCCCACUGCCGGUAAGGCCCGGCCCGCUUCAUAGAACGCCGGAGAAUCGCUCGUACGGACGCGCUAAUAGGCAUCGCUCCGUCUCCCACGCCGCCAUGUCUCUCCGCCAUCCUUCAUUCCUUCUCUUCGGCCAUGGUAGUCAUAUUUUCUUUGUAGGUGGCUGAUCAUCUUCUAAGUGAUAAUGAAGAGGUCAUUCCUCAGAGUGAUUGAGCUUCUUUUGUUUCAUAUGAUAUCUUUACCAUUAAUAUAAUUAGAGUCAAACCUUGGUUAAUAAUAAUUCAAGGUGUUCCAUCACAUCAAGAAAUCAAUUUCAAAAACAUAAUGCUCAAAAAGAAGUUUGUGCUGUUGUUGGUUCUCCCACAGAGGAGAAGAAAAUGAAGCAGAAAAGACAUUCUUAAGAAGAGGAAGAGAAGCUUGCAUUUGUUGAAUUUUCUUAUCCAUUAGUUUACCUCA